This 492-nucleotide ribosomal RNA is filed under the name uncultured bacterium. RNAcentral's name for it is "partial 16S ribosomal RNA". It matches the Rfam family "Bacterial small subunit ribosomal RNA", at positions 29 to 507 of the family's 1533-position model. The record is from RNAcentral.
AGUGAACGCUGGCGGUAGGCCUAACACAUGCAAGUCGAACGGCAGCACAGUAAGAUCUUGCUCUUACGGGUGGCGAGUGGCGGACGGGUGAGAAAUACAUCGGAAUCUUCUUUUUCGUGGGGGAUAACGUAGGGCCACUUCCGCUAAUACCGCAUACGUCCUACCGGUGAAAGCAGGGGAUCUUCGGACCUUUCGCGAUUGAAUGAGCCGAUGUCGGAUUAGCUAGUUGGCGGGGUAAAGGCCCACCAAGGCGACGAUCCGUAGCUGGUCUGAGAGGAUGAUCGGCCACACUGGAACUGAGACACGGUCCAGACUCCUACGGGAGGCAGCAGUGGGGAAUAUUGGGCAAUGGGCGCAAGCCUGAUGCAGCAAUGCCGCGUGGGUGAAGAAGGCCUUCGGGUUGUAAAGCCCUUUUGUUGGGAAAGAAAAGCAGCAGAUUAAAACCCCGCUGUUCUGACGGUACCCAAAGAAUAAGCACCGGCUAACUUCGUG